RNAcentral lists this ribosomal RNA (497 nucleotides) under uncultured bacterium. Its description in RNAcentral is "partial 16S ribosomal RNA". It matches the Rfam family "Bacterial small subunit ribosomal RNA", at positions 28 to 507 of the family's 1533-position model. The record is from RNAcentral.
GAUGAACGCUGGCGGCGUGCCUAAUACAUGCAAGUCGAGCGAACAGACGAGGAGCUUGCUCCUCUGACGUUAGCGGCGGACGGGUGAGUAACACGUGGAUAACCUACCUAUAAGACUGGGAUAACUUCGGGAAACCGGAGCUAAUACCGGAUAAUAUAUUGAACCGCAUGGUUCAAUAGUGAAAGACGGUUUUGCUGUCACUUCUAGAUGGAUCCGCGCCGCAUUAGCUAGUUGGUAAGGUAACGGCUUACCAAGGCAACGAUGCGUAGCCGACCUGAGAGGGUGAUCGGCGACACUGGAAGGGAGACACGGUCCAGACUCCUACGGGAGGCAGCAGUAGGGAAUGUUCCGCAAUGGGCGAAAGCAUGACGGAGCAACGCCGCGUGAGUGAUGAAGGUCUUCGGAUCGUAAAACUCUGUUAUUAGGGAAGAACAAAUGUGUAAGUAACUAUGCACGUAUUGACGGUACCUAAUCAAAAAGCCACGGCUAACUACGUG